Molecule: small nucleolar RNA, 247 nt
Filed under: Strigops habroptila (Kakapo)
Lineage: Eukaryota; Metazoa; Chordata; Aves; Psittaciformes; Psittacidae
Description: Small nucleolar RNA SNORD17 (ENSSHBG00005019651.1)
Rfam family: Small nucleolar RNA SNORD17
About the family: The snoRNA HBI-43 belongs to the C/D family of snoRNAs, guiding 2'O-ribose methylation at position U3797 of the 28S rRNA. Pseudouridylation in position U3797 is predicted to be guided by the H/ACA snoRNA ACA48.
Source: Rfam by way of RNAcentral
GUGAGGUGAUGACAAAGUUUAUCCAUUCUCUGAGCGCAGUGGUGCUGCCCUCCUGCAGCACCCCGAUUCCUGUUCUAGGGUCUGGGUGCUGUGCAGCCUCCAGAGACCCUCUGCUCUCCCAGUGUCCUACUGGGGGCUGGUGUGGUCUGUGGCUGGCUGCCUGCAGGAGUGAAGUGGUGCUGGCAUGGUUGGAGCCCCUCUCUGGGGGGCUCUGUCCUCACUGAGAUGAGGGAUGAUGUCUGAUCAC